GCUAACACUUCUGGGUUCUUGGGCCAUGCAUGUGCAGACAAGCCCUCAGGCAGAAGUACCUAAUGGCCCUGGGAAUGUUAAAGGGCUCUGUGUGACCCACACGCAUGUCUCGUUACAUCAUCCAUGUAUGACUCAGCUAAGUCAUUGCACACAUGCCUGAGCCCCUCAUCUGCAUAUGGCAUAGUCAUGUCAACCCCCUGUGCGCAUGCGCUAGGGAACUUUUAAAAGCUCGGCAGGCUUUUCGAUCCGACACCUGUGGUGGCAGCGCCGCCAGGAUGCAGAUUUUCGUGAAGACCCUUACGGGGAAAACCAUCACCCUCGAGGUUGAACCCUUGGACACUAUAGAAAAUGUCAAGACCAAGAUCCAGGAUAAGGAAGGAAUUCCUCCUGAGCAGCAGAGGCUGAUCUUGCGCUGGCAAGCAGCUGGAAGAUGGCCGUACUUUGUCUGACUACAACAUCCCAAAGGAGUCCACCCUUCAUCUGGUGUUGAGACUUCGCGGUGGUGCUAAGAAAAGGAAGAAGUUUUACACCACUCCCAAGAAGAACAAGCACAAGAGAAAGAAGGUGAAGUUGGCUGUACUGAAGUAAUAUAAGGUGGAUGAAAAUGGCAAAAUUAGUCGUCUUCGUCGAGAGUGUCCUCCUGAUGAAUGUGGUGCUCGAGUUUUCAUGGCUAGCCACUUUGACAGACAUUACUGUGGCAAGUGUUGUCUGACUUACUGUUUCAACAAGCCAGAAGACAAGUAGUUGUGUAUGAAUAAAUA
Myodes glareolus (Bank vole) is the source of this 761-nucleotide non-coding RNA. NCBI's taxonomy places the organism in Eukaryota, Metazoa, Chordata, Mammalia, Rodentia, Cricetidae. The record is from RefSeq and is a predicted model, not a curated record.